UACGUAGGGUGCAAGCGUUGUCCGGAAUUAUUGGGCGUAAAGAGCUCGUAGGCGGUUUGUCGCGUCUGCUGUGAAAACCCGAGGCUCAACCUCGGGCCUGCAGUGGGUACGGGCAGACUAGAGUGCGGUAGGGGAGAUUGGAAUUCCUGGUGUAGCGGUGGAAUGCGCAGAUAUCAGGAGGAACACCGGUGGCGAAGGCGGGUCUCUGGGCCAUUACUGACGCUGAGGAGCGAAAGCGUGGGGAGCGAACAGG
This 253-nucleotide ribosomal RNA is filed under the name uncultured bacterium. RNAcentral's name for it is "partial 16S ribosomal RNA". It matches the Rfam family "Bacterial small subunit ribosomal RNA", at positions 524 to 776 of the family's 1533-position model. The record is from RNAcentral.